This is a small nuclear RNA of 162 nucleotides. Its record names the gene U1. It matches the Rfam family "U1 spliceosomal RNA". From Rfam's summary of the family: U1 is a small nuclear RNA (snRNA) component of the spliceosome (involved in pre-mRNA splicing). Its 5' end forms complementary base pairs with the 5' splice junction, thus defining the 5' donor site of an intron. The record is from Ensembl.
UUACCCACUAGGCUCCUACCACCCAAGAUGAUCAAGAUGGCGGUUCACCCAGGGCGAGGCUCAGCCAUUGCACUUUGGCUGUGCUGAGCCCUGCGAAUUCCCCAAAUGUGGGAAUCUCGACUGCAUAAGUGGUGGCCUAGCGGUUAAGGAAGCAGCCCCAUA